CAGCAGCCGCGGGAAUACGAAGGGGGCUAGCGUUGCUCGGAAUGACUGGGCGUAAAGGGCGCGUAGGCGGCAUACACAGUCAGAUGUGAAAUUCCUGGGCUUAACCUGGGGGCUGCAUUUGAUACGUGUAGGCUAGAGUGGGGAAGAGGGUUGUGGAAUUCCCAGUGUAGAGGUGAAAUUCGUAGAUAUUGGGAAGAACACCGGUGGCGAAGGCGGCAACCUGGUCCUUGACUGACGCUAAGGCGCGAAAGCGUGGGGAGCAAACAGGAUUAGAUACCCCCGUAGUCCCUGUCUCUUAUCA
This 301-nucleotide ribosomal RNA is filed under the name uncultured bacterium. RNAcentral's name for it is "partial 16S ribosomal RNA". It matches the Rfam family "Bacterial small subunit ribosomal RNA", at positions 509 to 809 of the family's 1533-position model. The record is from RNAcentral.